Peromyscus maniculatus bairdii (prairie deer mouse) is the source of this 5139-nucleotide non-coding RNA. The record is from RefSeq and is a predicted model, not a curated record. Lineage: Eukaryota; Metazoa; Chordata; Mammalia; Rodentia; Cricetidae.
UACAUGUAUGUGUGUGUGUGUGUGUGUAUGUGUGUAUCUGUGUACACAUGUAUGUGUGUGUGCAAGUGCCCACAGUGUCCAGAAAAGGGUGUCUGAUACUGUUAGGUUUCAGUCAGGGGGUUGUGAGCCACCCUGCAUGGGUAAUGGGAACGAAACCUAAGCCCUCUGAAAGAGCAGUAUGCGCUCUUAACCACUAGGCCGUCUCAGCAGCCCUUGUCUUGAAAACGUGAGGAUUUCAUUUGUCAUCUAUCCAUUCUCAGUCAUUCCCACUGCUAUUACCAUCCCCAGACAUCACCUAUCUUGUUACUGACCAUACUGUCUUCUGAAACCAUGUGCCCAUCACCACUGUUACUAUUAAUAAUAGUUAAUAAAUUCUCUCUCCUCUCUUCAUUUUCUUUUUAUACAAGAUUAAAUAUGUACUAUCUAAUAUAGCAGCUGUUAGCCACAGUAAGGCCAGUCUGAAUUACGAUGUGUUAUAUGUGUAAAAUACACCCCAGAUUUUGAAGAUUUAAGAUGACAAAGAGGCUAAAAAGUUUUCCACAGUUCCAUGUUAAGUAGUAAAAUAAUAAUGUUUGGGACAUACUGGGAAUAAACUAUCAUAUGAAAUCCACUUCACAAAUUUUUCUUUACAUAGCUACCUAAAUUUUUAAUUAGGUAUGUGUCUGAAAGACCAUCCUGUCUUUUUCAUUGAUGUAAUGAUUCACCCAAUUUAUUUUGUGAUUAUCAAAUUUGGGCCAGACAGGUCUAGGCAACAGAACUACACAGCAAACAGGACGUUUCAACCCCUCGCCCGUGUGGCUCAUCAUUAGCACUUUUUCCACCCAGUGCCCCAUGGGACACCUGGCCAACAGGAACUGAUCAAGGAGCAUUUGAUGACCAAUCCAUUUGGCUGUGGUGGCCUGCUCUAUACGUGAGACACCAGAGUCCCCCUUUCUUUGUGACUGGGGACAUAGUUUUAACUUCAUGCUGGGUGGAGUCUUAAGUCUUUCACUUUCUCAUCUGCCACCACAGUUUCUUCUCUCUCAGGAGCUACUUCUGCAGUCUGCUUUUACUUGUUUGUGGCUCCCCCAAUUCUGAAGUUUGGCUAUCAGGGCAUUUGACUGCGCUAAAAGACUAGUCGUCAUGAUAACUGAUAUUUUUCUGAUAAAGUCUCUUUUCUAAAUAUCCUGCAUCUUAUUCACAAUUAUAAAUGCCAUGUUAUUUACAAAUGAAUCAUUGAGUUCACCAAAAUGUUACAUAGAUAACAUGAUGUUAAAAGGCUAUCAGCCAAAAGAUAGAAAUGCUAAUUCCUAAAAUGGAUCUUAGGACCACUGUACAGCUAAUUUAUUACUCUUUUUUAUCUUUCUCAUGGCAUGUUUUUGCCUAUGUAGAAAGCAUAAAAACAUUUUUUUUUUUUUUUUUGAGACAAAGUCUCAACUAUGUAGCCCAGGAAUUCAGUACUUUGACCAGGCUGUCCUCUAACUCACAGAUACCUGCCUGCCUCUGCCUCCCAAAUUCUGGGAAUAAAGGCGUACGCUACCAAGUGUAGCAAUGAAUGUCUUUAUAUACAGAAAAUGAUUCAACAUUUCUUUGCAAACUAAACCAAAGAUAUGAAAAGAAAGCCACUUUCCGCUUUCCACUUUCCACAGUUCUCUCAACUACCAAAGCUGAACACAAAUAUUAAGAGUACAGGCCACAUGAAGUCUGCCAGCCAGAGUAGUAACUGAAUAGUGGACACUGACUCUCCUAACUUUCCCUGCUGCUGAAGGAAGGGAGUAGCAAAAAGCAAAGAAAGCACAAUUUAAAUUCUGAAAACGGCCUUUGAAGUGUGCAGGGGUCCUGUACUUACCAUCGGCUUUGGAAGCGAAAGAUGGUCGUACUUCUCUCCUACAAAUAACAUACAUCGUUUAAGAACUUUUUCUACUGAUGCAGUUUUAUUAUUCACAUUUGGCUUUUAAAAUCGCAAACAAAUAUGACACAUUGGUUGUGAUAAUCUACACUGUCGAUUAUAUGUCAUUCAGACAUGACAGCCUGACUUGGCUGGCAAGCAUGAAGACGGUCAGCUCCUGUAUCUCCAAGGCACCUCCAACGCCAGAGCUCGUCCCAAGCAAAGGAAAAGGAAAAGCAGAAUGUGUCAUUGGGAUUGACUUCCAUUUCCUGGUAGCCUCGCUCAGAGUGAUCCUUCCCCCAGCCUGGUACUCCCAAAACCAGAAUCCUCCCAUCAGGACCAGUAUCUGUGCUUUUUCCCUCCUCCACAUACCAAAUCACAUCAUCUCCAACUAUGCUCACUCAGGGACAGAACAACCCCGUGAACAAGACAGGAGAAUGAAAUAAAGCACACAGGUCGGGGGCUGUGAAAUGACGCACAGCAUGAAGUGGAUAACAGGAAAGGAGGGCAAUCUACAAUGUCCAUUCCACGCCUGCCCUAUCUGCCAUUUUUCUGGCUUGCAGAUCAGUUUACAAUACAUGAUUUGUUCUUGGUUUUGUUUGUUUGUUUAUUUGGGACAGGGUUUCUCUGUGUAGUCCUGGCUGUCCUGGAACUCACUCUGUAGACCAGACUGGCCUCGAACUCAUAGAGAUCUGUCUACCUCUGCCUCCCAAGUGCUGGGAUUGAAGGUAUGGGCCACAAUACUCAGCUUUGAUUUCUUUUUUAAAGCUAGUCUGUGAUAGCUUAGGUGAGAAUUUAAGAUAAGAUUUGUGAAAGAAUAAAUUUAAAAAACAAUCCAAAUAGCAUAAAGAAUCAAGAUUAGAAACCCACAUUCACCCAUGUUGCUACUUUUCAAAUACACUUAGCAUUAACAUUUUAUCUUAUUUAUUACUAUAGUUUAUUUAUUUAUUUUAGGUUUUUUGAGACAGGGUUUUCCUGGGUAACAGUUUUGGCUAUCCUGGAACUUGCUUUGUAGACAAGGCUGUCCUCAAACUCAGAGAUCCACUAGCCUCUGCCUCCUGCUGAAUUAAAAGCAGGCAUCACCGUGCCCAGCUUAGCAUUAACGUUUUAGUGGGGGAUAGGGGAAGCGAGUUCUUUGAGUGUCCUGGUUGGGUGUUUUUGGUAAUUUUACACAUUACUUUUGGUUACAGUAUUUAUCACAUCAAUAGAAACCCUAAGACUUUUAGAAACCAUCUUUACUUAAUAGACUAUUUUAGUUGUAAGAAUAAAAUAAAUGAGUAUAAAUUUUUUAAAAAGAUUUGAAAAGCAAUCACUGAGGUUUUUGGUUGUUGGUUUUGCUUUAUUGUUCUUCCUUGUGGUGCUGGGGAUUAAACCCAAAGCCUUUCGAAAACUAUACGACUGUACCCAACUAUACGACUAACCCGAAGCUGGGCCGGUAACGGCUUCUUUUUCCCCUUGUUUUAAACAUGUAUCUACUUGUGUGAGUGUACAUGCAGAGGUCAGAGGACAACCUGUGGGAAUCAGUUCCCUCCUCCUGCUUGGUCAUCAGGCUUGGUGGCAAGUACCUUAAUCUGCUAAAUUGUGUCGGCAGCCCGAUCUGGCUAACAGACUUCUUCUUUUCAAGGAAAAACGAGGGCCGGUUUAUUACCAGGCAACUUGAUUCCUGUUUCCUUUGGCUGAGGCUGAUCUACAGGAUGAAUUGCUAUUAAGGGCCAUUUAGUGGAACUUGAAAAACAAUGAUCACUUGGGUAAGUUCUUUAGAACAUCAGAAUUGCAGGGGAAUCUUUAAAUUGUUUGCUGGCCUUGGAUUUGGGAGGAAGGAGCCGCUUUCCUGCCUCGCCUCCAGCCUCUGACAUGCAAUGAUGAGAACUGCGAGAAGACUGACAGCAGAUGGUCCUCAGGUCUCUUGGAAUCUCAACAUGUACAGCACUGGAAUCGAGUCUGACUCUUCAGUCUUGAGACACCAUAAAGAGGGUACAGUGGUUACUCAGGCACAGCAGGCUUGCGAAGUAACCUUGUGUCGUCUAACCUCGUGGUCCUCCAUUGUUGCCGCAGCCCUGAAAUGCAGGCAUUUGCCUUCCCAAAGAGUUGACAGAGGCACCGUCUCCACGGCUCUUGUGUCUCUCACACAACAGAGCUGAAGCAGACUACAGUGUCGAGAGAACUAAGCACACUGGAAGGAGCUUUGGCCCGAGUUACUUUGCCGCCAUCACCAUCCACCUUCGAGUACUCGCCACCCGGUCAACCCCAGUGACCUCUUAGUUCUUAUUGAUUUGCUAAUCCAAUGUAAAAGGAAAAGAAACCACAGGGACUAUGCCAUCCAAAACCAAGUACAGAAUUCUCCCGCUUAAUCGCAGCCUGUCCACGGUGGAUAGUGGAGAGGACAAGAAGGCCACGUGUGUCAACACCUCAGCACCCGUCAGCAAGAUUAUUUUUUCCAUCAAAAAGAGACCAGUGUCAAGUCAGGCAUAGUGUUUCAUGCCUGUAAUCCCAGCACUCAUAAGGCUGAGGCAGGAGGAUGGCAUUCUGAGAUCAGCCUGAGCUACACAGCUGGGUCCCAUUCUGGGAGCACCUCUUACGCAACGGUCAGCAGAGAGAACAGUCCUCCCCACUGCUUUUUCACUCCCUGCUCUGACCUGGAUCUUCACACAAGGUCGUGGUGCAGUGAGACAGAAAGAACACCAUGCCUGACUCAGCUCUGCUCACUCUAGGUGUGCCACCUUAGCAUAUCAGGUGACUUUUCAGGGCCUCCCUCCGUUUUCUCAUCUGGUAAAUGAUGCUGCAUCAGACAACACUAUAGGGCCCUCUUGAGGAGAAGUCAGACCACCUGGAGUCAGAUCUCAGCUCUGGUACUGAGGCAGGAAGUCCAUCUCAGCUCUGUCUCUCCGACUCGCUAACAGCACCAGGAAGAGAAUGGCAACAGUACUUGUGAGGAUCUCAGGCGUCCACGCAUUUAAAGCACUUGGACUGAGCUGGCACAGAGGACUCCGAAUGUUAGUAGGAUUUCUUUUAGAGCUGUUGCUACUGUUACGGUCUCCACGUGUGGAUCCUAUCACACAAGGAAGAGCAAGGAUCCCAGCAGAGAUUGUAUGCUGCUUGUGAUCAUCUGCAGAAGGCUCUACACCAAGGAGUCUGUCUUAACCAGCAGUUCAACAGGGCUGCUGCUAUAAACAAGGACAUGUAUUGUCUGUCAACAUAACGCUGAGCCCAUAUUGCUCACUGUCAGGUUUCCACAGAAUGGUAUUACAUUAAAGAAAUAUAUUUGAUUUUUU